CCUACGGGAGGCAGCAGUGAGGAAUAUUGGUCAAUGGGCGAGAGCCUGAACCAGCCAAGCCGCGUGAGGGAUGAAGGUCCUAUGUAUUGUAAACCUCUUUUGUCAGGGAACAAAGGCGUCCACGUGUGCCCUGAUGAGUGUACCCGAAGAAAAAGCAUCGGCUAACUCCGUGCCAGCAGCCGCGGUAAUACGGAGGAUGCGAGCGUUAUCCGGAUUUAUUGGGUUUAAAGGGUGCGCAGGCGGACAGUCAAGUCAGCGGUAAAAAUGCGGUGCUCAACGCCGUACAGCCGUUGAAACUGGCAGUCUCGAGUGGGCGAGAAGUAUGCGGAAUGCGUGGUGUAGCGGUGAAAUGCAUAGAUAUCACGCAGAACUCCGAGUGCGAAGGCAGCAUACCGGCGCCAUACUGACGCUGAGGCACGAAAGCGUGGGUAUCGAACAGGAUUAGAUACCCGUGUAGUC
This 459-nucleotide ribosomal RNA is filed under the name uncultured bacterium. Its description in RNAcentral is "partial 16S ribosomal RNA". It matches the Rfam family "Bacterial small subunit ribosomal RNA", at positions 338 to 795 of the family's 1533-position model. The record is from RNAcentral.